AGAAAUUUGCUAGGAAAGAUAUAAAAAUGGAUUUUUAAGAAAAUUGUGAUUGGGAGAUAGGUAAUGCAAUUCAUUCUUUAUCACAUCAGAAGACCUAUUACAGAAGACCUUCUGUAAAGACUGCUUUUCAAGGACUGAAUUUGGAUUUGUUUUCCAUUCACGGGCUGAGAUGGGCCUUAAAGCUGUUCAGGUGUUAGUUGGAUAGAUUUUAAGAGUAAUUCAGGGUGAAAGAAAUCUUUUUUUAUUAUGACAUUCAAAACAUUUAUCAACAGUCAUAAUUCAGUGAAAAAGUGCUAUAAUUCUUGAUUCAUGUUAAGCCAAGAGCUUUGCAACUUCUGAUGGCUUUUUUAGUGUAAUGAUUUAUAUACUUAAUCUCUGCAUUGUUUUUACAUUUUUUUCUCAAUUAUGUCUUAUCCUAUGAGAUAAUGAGUGGACUACAGACUGGAAACUAACCCCAUAGAAAAUAAAAUAGUAAUGGUUCCUUCAACUAGUUUUCAAAAUCUAAAAAGCCCCUCAAUAACAUAGACUAGGAAAUUUAAUAUAAAGCAGGUAUAUGAGUAUAUAUGCAUAUUUUAGUUAUUAAAGAUGAUUUCUGAAGGUUUUGACUUAUGGGAGUUACUCAUUUUCUAUUAUUAAAUUCUAUGCUUAUGAAUAUUAAACAGCUUUAAUUAAUGAAUAUGUGCACUAGUAAAUAUCAAAAUAUUUCAGGUAAAAUUUUCAAAUCUGUGAUUGGUAGGCAAUAAAG
RNAcentral lists this long non-coding RNA (745 nucleotides) under Bos taurus (domestic cattle). RNAcentral describes it as "long non-coding RNA NONBTAT000322". Lineage: Eukaryota; Metazoa; Chordata; Mammalia; Artiodactyla; Bovidae. The record is from RNAcentral.